RNAcentral lists this long non-coding RNA (238 nucleotides) under Lathyrus oleraceus (garden pea). Its description in RNAcentral is "Pisum sativum (pea) long non-coding RNA (PSAT_LNC000802)". Lineage: Eukaryota; Viridiplantae; Streptophyta; Magnoliopsida; Fabales; Fabaceae. The record is from RNAcentral.
UAUUUAUUCCAUUUUACUUUCCACUUUGAUUUAUUUUUUUCUCCCUUUGUUUUUAUUAUUUUGUAAAUUUGUUGAACACAAACCCCCUUUAUUUUUGCCUCUAUAUUUUAAUGUUGACUUGUUUUAUUUCAUUUGGUUUAUUUUUGAUGGACUGUAUUGAAGUUAAGGACUAAUGAAAACCAUUUAAGUUAUGAUAUGUUUGAUUAGGGUUGAUUAAAACCUUACAUACUUCAAACCU